GCGCCCGUAGCCUAAAGGAUAGGCAUCAGUCUUCUAAACUGAUCUUAUGAAGGUUCGAGUCCUUUCGGGCGUGCGA
RNAcentral lists this transfer RNA (76 nucleotides) under Chloroflexota bacterium. RNAcentral describes it as "Chloroflexi bacterium tRNA-Arg". It matches the Rfam family "tRNA". Rfam says of the family: Transfer RNA (tRNA) molecules are approximately 80 nucleotides in length. Their secondary structure includes four short double-helical elements and three loops (D, anti-codon, and T loops). Lineage: Bacteria; Bacillati; Chloroflexota. The record is from RNAcentral.